RNAcentral lists this ribosomal RNA (492 nucleotides) under uncultured bacterium. RNAcentral describes it as "partial 16S ribosomal RNA". It matches the Rfam family "Bacterial small subunit ribosomal RNA", at positions 29 to 507 of the family's 1533-position model. The record is from RNAcentral.
AGUGAACGCUGGCGGUAGGCCUAACACAUGCAAGUCGAACGGCAGCACAGUAAGAGCUUGCUCUUACGGGUGGCGAGUGGCGGACGGGUGAGGAAUACAUCGGAAUCUACUUUUUCGUGGGGGAUAACGUAGGGAAACUUACGCUAAUACAGCAUACGACUUACGGGUGAUAGCGGGGGAUCUUCGGACCUUGCGCGAUUGAAUGAGCCGAUGUCGGAUUAGCUAGUUGGCGGGGUAAAGGCCCACCAAGGCGACGAUCCGUAGCUGGUCUGAGAGGAUGAUCAGCCACACUGGAACUGAGACACGGUCCAGACUCCUACGGGAGGCAGCAGUGGGGAAUAUUGGACAAUGGGCGCAAGCCUGAUCCAGCCAUACCGCGUGAGUGAAGAAGGCCUUCGGGUUGUAAAGCCCUUUUGUUGGGAAAGAAAAGCAGCAGGUUAAUACCCCGCUGUUCUGACGGUACCCAAAGAAUAAGCACCGGCUAACUUCGUG